UGCGUAGGCGGUUCGGUAAGUCUUAUGUGAAAUCUUCAGGCUCAACUUGAAGUCUGCAUGAGAAACUGCCGGGCUUGAGUGUGGGAGAGGUGAGUGGAAUUUCCGGUGUAGCGGUGAAAUGCGUAGAUAUCGGAAGGAACACAUGUGGCGAAAGCGGCUCACUGGACCAUAACUGACGCUGAUGCACGAAAGCUAGGGGAGCAAACAGGAUUAGAUACCCUGGUAGUCCUAGCCCUAAACGAUGAUCGCUUGGUGUGACGGGUACCCAAUCCCGCCGUGCCGAAGCUAACGCGUUAAGCGAUCCGCCUGGGGAGUACGGUCGCAAGGCUGAA
RNAcentral lists this ribosomal RNA (332 nucleotides) under uncultured bacterium. RNAcentral describes it as "bacterial SSU rRNA". It matches the Rfam family "Bacterial small subunit ribosomal RNA", at positions 568 to 898 of the family's 1533-position model. The record is from RNAcentral.